This 602-nucleotide long non-coding RNA is filed under the name Fragaria vesca (wild strawberry). RNAcentral's name for it is "long non-coding RNA (FVES_LNC002999)". Lineage: Eukaryota; Viridiplantae; Streptophyta; Magnoliopsida; Rosales; Rosaceae. The record is from RNAcentral.
UAUAUAUAUAUAUAUAUAUAUAUAUAUAUAUAUAUUCCAUGGAUUUCUACGUACCCCUUUGUCUUUUCCAGUCAAGCCUUAGCCUAGAACUUAUUUAAUCGAUGUUCCUUCUUCAGGGUAUAUUUUCUCGUCGUAUAAUCUGAUCUCAGAUGUAUUACCCUUUGCUGAAAUUUACGCUGCUUUUACAAAAUUACCCCCUACUUUCCCCACACUUCCACGUGAAACUACUCUCUCUUUCUGGGUCUGUUCUCAUAAUCUCAUCUGCAUAUAUUGUUCUCUGUAAAGAAACCAAAUAAGGGUGAACUGAUGAAGUUUUGAAUAGAAGGAAGAUAACUGAUAUCGUUUGGGUGGAGACGAAGGCUAUCAAACUCUAUUUUCUCAUGAAGCUGGCCGGGUUUAUUAAAAAGAGAGAAUCAAGGUGCAGAGCAGUACUCCUUAAAAAAAAUGUACAGAGCAGUUGAAUCCAAUCUCCUCCCUAAUUUCAUUUCUUCUUUGCCAUCUAUGCUAUCCACUUCAACUCAAUCUUCUACCAUAAAUAAAUAAAUAACUGCAUCAUUAUCUCCGUCAAACACACCCAGCAAACCAAACAAAUCCUAUUUGGA